RNAcentral lists this ribosomal RNA (524 nucleotides) under uncultured bacterium. RNAcentral's name for it is "partial 16S ribosomal RNA". It matches the Rfam family "Bacterial small subunit ribosomal RNA", at positions 28 to 523 of the family's 1533-position model. The record is from RNAcentral.
GACGAACGCUGGCGGCGUGCUUAACACAUGCAAGUCGAACGAGACGAUUGAAAGCUUGCUUUCGAAAGUCGAGUGGCAAACGGGUGAGUAACGCGUAGACAACCUGCCUUUGAGAUGGGGACAACAGUUCGAAAGGACUGCUAAUACCGAAUGUUGUAUAUUUUCCACAUGGAAGAUAUAUUAAAGAUGGCCUCUAUUUAUAAGCUAUCGCUCAAAGAUGGGACUGGGUCUGAUUAGCUAGUUGGUGGGGUAACGGCCUACCAAGGCGACUAUAAGUAGCCGGUCUGAGAGAAUGAACGGCCACAUUGGAACUGAGAGACGGCCCCGACUCCUACGGGAGGCAGCAGUGGGGAAUCUUCCACAAUGGACGAAAGUCUGAUGGAGCAACGCCGCGUGAGUGAAGAAGGGUUUCGGCUCGUAAAGCUCUGUUGUCGGGGACGAAUGUGCAGUAUUUGAAUAAAGUACUGCAAUGACGGUACCUGACGAGGAAGCCACGGCUAACUACGUGCCAGCCGCCGCAGUAA